This is a long non-coding RNA of Cucumis melo (muskmelon), 257 nucleotides long. RefSeq lists it as uncharacterized. NCBI's taxonomy places the organism in Eukaryota, Viridiplantae, Streptophyta, Magnoliopsida, Cucurbitales, Cucurbitaceae. The transcript has 3 exons. The record is from RefSeq and is a predicted model, not a curated record.
CGAGCCGCGCCUGUCUGCGCCGCGAGCCGAGCCGGUCUUCAACCUCCAAGCCGAGCCGAUCCCUGUCCUUUUUCCAGCCGAGCCGCCAAGCCUAAUUUGGCUCCUUCCACCUAAUUUUUGGGACGUCUUGGACCAAGUAACUGCUGCAGUGUGGGAUUUCUUCAGUAGGGGCUCGAGCAUUGCAACCUCUUUCUAGGGUAGAGGACGAGGCAAGGGCAAAGGCAAGCUGGCGAGCGACCCGAAGUGACCGUGGCGAG